Molecule: long non-coding RNA, 1292 nt
Filed under: Homo sapiens (human)
Lineage: Eukaryota; Metazoa; Chordata; Mammalia; Primates; Hominidae
Description: HSALNT0048411
Source: RNAcentral
UGAUAAUUGGCUACUUAAGAUUCAUGCAUAUGGGCUGCGUAUCAUGCAUGUACUUAAAAUUAUGGGAUAGAGGCAGCUUGCAAGUGCAUGGAGGCCGAAGUAACUAAACAACACACCUCUCAAUCAAAAGGCAGACACUGGCUAGAGAUUAGGCAGCCUUGGGAAGAGAAGAAAAAAACACGUAAAAAGACUCAAACUUCACCAAACUGACGCUGAUCUCAUCUCACAGAGGCCAGUCCAUUCUCCUGCCCUGAAAGUGUAAUACUGUGCUUAAUGAACUUCUGUUGCUUUGCUUUGCUAUCUGUUUGUCUCGUCCAAUUCUUUAUUCGGGACACCAAGAGCCUAGAACUGCGUGGCACCCUCCGUUAACAGUGGGUGCACAGAGAAGCUCCUUCUGAGUCUUAGGUCAGAAGAUGAAGAAUGAGAAUUAGCUCUGAGCUUUGUGUGCAGGGUGUGUGGGAAGAAGGCACUUUCAGAAAGAUAGCCAAGCUUUUCAUACCAACUCAGGCUUCCUGUGGUUGAAGGGUGGAGGCAGUUUGAAAAUUACUCUUUUCACUUUACAGAUGGGAUGAUUGGAGCCCAGGAAGAAUGAGAGAUGACUCUCCCCGGGUUAGUGGGACAUCAGUGCUAUGAAGAAACAGAAGAUGGGAUCACAUAGCUGGAAGCACUUGCAGCACGUUUCCUGGCCCAUUGUUCACACUCAACACAUAAGAACUCAUUCUUAUUCCUAAAGAGCCCUGGUCUCCAUUGGCCAUGCAGUGGUCAGCCAUGUGCUCAGAAGACAGAGCUGGAAUGUAGACAGAAAAAAAUGGGCCUCGGAAGAGAUGAGUAACUCUGCUUGUUUACCACUUCAACAUGUUAGCACAACUCAAGUUACAGAGACUCGUGAGUGCUUCAGCUCUGAAUUCAGGGGAUUAAGGGAAGAAAGCUUUCGGCGCAGGAUAAUAUUCACUCGGAAAGGCUUCUGUUCCUCUGUCAGACUUUCGGGGCGCCCUCCAGUGGCUGGGAGCUGGCUGACCGAGGAGGACCUGAGGAUUUGGUGUGGGAUCUGCCAGUCAGGAAAACUCUAAUGAUCCUCUCUCUACAUAACCUGGGCCAGUUUCACUGAGGCUUUCCUCUGGCCAGCUCACUGGAUGUGCCUCGCCAGGCACCAUCCUCUCCAGCAGGCCUUCCUGCCUUCCUAAAUACCUUCUUUGAGGUUUGUGAACUGAGAUUUUUGAAGGUAGAGUUUCAUCUUCAAUUGCCUAGCAUAGGGUCCAGAAUGCAUCAGAACGUAACAGGAGCUCAAGAAA